AGGAGGAACAACCGCAGUGGCGGGGCCAGCUCUGCAGCCCUGGAGUCAGCUCCCGCAGUAGCUCCAGAGCUCUCCGUCUGCAGGGCCUGGAGGCUCCGGGGCGGG
RNAcentral lists this microRNA precursor (105 nucleotides) under Nyctereutes procyonoides (raccoon dog). RNAcentral's name for it is "mir-8834 microRNA precursor family". It matches the Rfam family "mir-8834 microRNA precursor family". Lineage: Eukaryota; Metazoa; Chordata; Mammalia; Carnivora; Canidae. The record is from Rfam by way of RNAcentral. RNAcentral also lists the same sequence under 1 other name.